Molecule: long non-coding RNA, 213 nt
Filed under: Physcomitrium patens
Lineage: Eukaryota; Viridiplantae; Streptophyta; Bryopsida; Funariales; Funariaceae
Description: long non-coding RNA (PPAT_LNC013954)
Source: RNAcentral
CAUUCAAAGAUGAUAUAAUAUUUAACUAGAACGAUUAUUGCCAAAAAUAAGAAGACUAAAAAGUCUUGGAAUAAGACUAAAGACUAGAAAGGCAUUGACAAGAGUGAAGAAGGCUUCACUCUUGCUUCCAUAUAUACUCUCUAACAACAAUAUCAUAAGCCCUAAAUCCUAAACCAAACCCUAAGUAAAUCCUAAUCCAAAAUCAAACCCUAA